RNAcentral lists this ribosomal RNA (445 nucleotides) under uncultured bacterium. RNAcentral describes it as "partial 16S ribosomal RNA". It matches the Rfam family "Bacterial small subunit ribosomal RNA", at positions 354 to 796 of the family's 1533-position model. The record is from RNAcentral.
GUGAGGAAUAUUGGUCAAUGGGCGAGAGCCUGAACCAGCCAAGUAGCGUGAAGGAUGACUGCCCUAUGGGUUGUAAACUUCUUUUAUAAAGGAAUAAAGUCGGGUAUGUAUACCCGUUUGCAUGUACUUUAUGAAUAAGGAUCGGCUAACUCCGUGCCAGCAGCCGCGGUAAUACGGAGGAUCCGAGCGUUAUCCGGAUUUAUUGGGUUUAAAGGGAGCGUAGAUGGAUGUUUAAGUCAGUUGUGAAAGUUUGCGGCUCAACCGUAAAAUUGCAGUUGAUACUGGAUAUCUUGAGUGCAGUUGAGGCAGGCGGAAUUCGUGGUGUAGCGGUGAAAUGCUUAGAUAUCACGAAGAACUCCGAUUGCGAAGGCAGCCUGCUAAGCUGCAACUGACAUUGAGGCUCGAAAGUGUGGGUAUCAAACAGGAUUAGAAACCCUAGUAGUCC